AUGGGUAUAAAAGGGGCACGUGGCAGCCUAGCGGGGGCCUUUUGCGAUGGUGGUGGCGGAGGGGAGGAGAGCGCUGAGUUCACUGGAGCAGCUCCUGGCCUGGGACGGUGGGUCAGGCAGCGAGGGAUCCCCCCGGCCGCUAGCAUCUGUGGACGUAUGAUGUCCCCUCCAAGCCAUCAGAGUGAUGUGACUAGCAAGAGAGAUUGCUUCCUGAGUUGCCUAGGUCAACACAGCCUUGUCCACAAUUCUGGGCUCUGGUGCUUGUUGAGGUGAGGGCAUGAUCUACUCUGCUCCACCCUUCCUCCUGCAAAGGUCAUUCACCGGCUGAUUUCAAUCAUGCGUGCAUCUAGCUGAACUGCCCAGCUGCCUGAUAAAGGAAUCUGAGGUGAGUGCUCUGGUAGAAGGAUGAGAUGAAGCAGUAUCAACUACUAUGCUUCUGCUCUUGCGUUGUGGAAGGUUUUUAUAGAGGCUGUCUACCUCUGAGAGUUCUUAUGUUUUUGUCCCUCAGCCUGGUAUGUGUUUUUGAUAAACAGGGUGAUGAGGUUACGUUCUAGAUUCUGCUGUGGGGAAAAGCUAUUUGAUCUUGCAGGAGGGGUGUAGCUUCUACAGGCUUCAUUUAAGCUGGCACUACAGCUGAGUGUCUCAUACUUUCAGUGCAGGGGAGGGAGGCUGAGGGGUUCAUUAAUAUUUGUGAAACGCAUUGAAAAUUUUCAGGUGAAUGGGGACCCUUUAUUGCAAUGCAAGGUAUUGUUUUUUUCGUGUGAGCGGUGAUUAACUGGUAGUACUAAAUACUGAAACCCACCAGUUCCCAUAUGUGCAAGCGUGUGUGUGUAGCAGGGCCAGGCAAAUGACUAAUGCAAACCUGAAGAGAGACAGCAGAGCAUAUUGUAAAGAUCAACCCUAUUUCAGCUUAUGUUCAAAUCGGAAAUGCCAGAGAUUGUUUCAUAGUCUUCU
Molecule: long non-coding RNA, 954 nt
Filed under: Struthio camelus australis
Lineage: Eukaryota; Metazoa; Chordata; Aves; Struthioniformes; Struthionidae
Description: lncRNA (ENSSCUG00000016383.1)
Source: RNAcentral